Molecule: long non-coding RNA, 807 nt
Organism: Humulus lupulus (European hop)
Lineage: Eukaryota; Viridiplantae; Streptophyta; Magnoliopsida; Rosales; Cannabaceae
Exons: 3
Source: RefSeq, a predicted model, not a curated record
CUUCCCUCCCACAACCCUAUUUUUUCUCUCUCCCACACAUUCUUCUCUUCCUCUCUUCCCUCUCAAAACCCAGUCGCCUCCCUCUCUGUUUCUUCUCUUCUCUCUUUCCAAUGUCUUCUCUCUGUUCCCAAAAGCUAGUCGCAUCCCUCUCUUUUUUACACCAAUUUCUCUUUCUCUCUCCCUCCCUCUCUCACCAUCUAGGUCGAAGGCGACACUCUGCCUGGGUCGAAGGCUCUCUUUUUUUCUCUCACAUGUGGGUGGUGGGAUGGAUGGCAGGCUAGGCUUGCAUUGGGGAUGGGCGCACAGGUAUCAGACGACGAAGGACCAUGAAUUCGAUGACAAGCCCAUAUAUGAUUCAGCCUUAAAUCCAAUGCUUGAAAUUUCAGUAAGUAGAACUUCAGGCCAUUUUCGCUCACUUCGUGGUAGAGAUCUCGAUAUCCACAAAUCAUUUUCUCUAAUUGCUAAAUAGAUAGCAAGAGAGACUCCUUGGACUGUUGAUGAUUUUUUGCUCACAUUAGAUUGUUUCACAUUAGAAACAAUUAUAACAAUGAAGAAUGAAGACGAGUCUUGCAGUUUAAAACAUGUUUUUGGUCUUAAUUUACAGAUGGAAGGCAAGUCAAUCGAAAGGACUUGGAAUACUUCCACAAUCUCAUUAAUGAACUACUAAAGUAGUCUUCCUUUGACUAAUUUGAAUUUUUGUGUAAUGUUCUAUUUUUUAAAAGUUGUUCAAGUCUGUUUUUAUGUUGUAUGAAUCUGACUUGUUUAAAAUCUUUAUUUUGUUGUAUAAUAAUCUGUGUGGGUUUUCUU